This 301-nucleotide ribosomal RNA is filed under the name uncultured bacterium. RNAcentral's name for it is "partial 16S ribosomal RNA". It matches the Rfam family "Bacterial small subunit ribosomal RNA", at positions 509 to 807 of the family's 1533-position model. The record is from RNAcentral.
CAGUCGCCACGGUAAUACGGAGGAUCCAAGCGUUAUCCGGAAUCAUUGGGUGUAAAGGGUCCGUAGGCGGUCUUGUAAGUCAGUGGUGAAAGCCCAUCGCUCAACGGUGGAACGGCCAUUGAUACUGCAGGACUUGAAUUAUUGGGAAGUAACUAGAAUAUGUAGUGUAGCGGUGAAAUGCUUAGAGAUUACAUGGAAUACCAAUUGCGAAGGCAGGUUACUACCAAUUGAUUGACGCUGAUGGACGAAAGCGUGGGUAGCGAACAGGAUUAGAUACCCGUGUAGUCCCUGUCUCUUAUAC